Rhododendron vialii is the source of this 3828-nucleotide RNA transcript. It is a transcript of the gene named inactive poly [ADP-ribose] polymerase RCD1-like, with no coding region annotated. The transcript has 14 exons. NCBI's taxonomy places the organism in Eukaryota, Viridiplantae, Streptophyta, Magnoliopsida, Ericales, Ericaceae. The record is from RefSeq and is a predicted model, not a curated record.
CGUCGUGUUCCACCUUCCCCCAUAAAAAACGACACCACUUCGUCUAUUCCCCUGCUUGCAAAUUGCAAUCCACCCAAUCGCGUCACCCCCUGGAUCGGAUCUCAUCUCAUCUCUAUCUUUCAAACCAAAUAGGUCGCCGACCUCUCCUCCUCUCUCUCUCCUCAAUCACCACUUCCGACAUCUCAAAAGAAAUAAUUCUAGCAAAUGGACCCUCGCCCGUCGGUCUUCUCCCCCGUCUGACCUCGUCGUUUCACCUAAUUUCUGGAUCAGCUCCGCACGACGGCUAAUCCGACUAAUUUCCCUUACCAGUUGUGACGACGACUUAGCGACGGCGGCUCGGACUGUGUUUAAGUUGACAAUUAGGUAGGUAUUUGUUUCCGUGACGACGACUGGUAGCUCGGACUCUUAAUUUUGUUGACGAUUAGGUAUUUGUUUCAGAGACAACGACUUAACGACGGCAACUUGGACUCUAAUUUGGCUGACGAAUAGAGGACUGUAAGUAGUGGAGCAGCUUGGGAGUUUGUACCUGAGAAACUUGUCGACUUUGCGCCAAUGGCCGUUAAGCUUGUAAAUUGUACAGAGAAUAUGGUUCCUGCUCUAUUACCUGUUCUUGGCACAUCUUUUACUUGGGGGUUUGUUGUUUCUCCUCUAUGGCGUUGUUCUUUGGGGAAUUUUGGUUGAAGACUCAUCGAGUACCAUUAACUUUUGGGGUUUUAGUUUGUAAAUAGAGGUUUCCCUUGUAGAUAAAUGGACUCAAAGUGGGUUGAAGUAUUGGAUAAUGGUUGUAGAAGAGUUGGUGACUCCAACAGAAGACGGGCAGCCAAAUGUGCCGCCAAUAUUGCUCGAGCAAGCCACAAGGUGUUCUCACUUUCUCCCAAGCAUAAUUCAUUGCUUAGUAAGCUUGGCAAGCGGAAGAGAUUGGGUUCAUGCAAAACCAAUUGUGGACAAUCCCUAGUUCAGAAUUAUUCUAAUUAUCUAAGAAGUGGACUGCCACAGCGUUUGCUGUUUUAUCAGGAUGGUGAAUGGAAUGAUUUUCCUGAGGCGAUUGUUGCAUUGGUCAGGAAAGAUUUCCAAAUGAAGAAAGCUGCAAUAGAAGUGCAGUUCAAUGGAUGGCAUAUAAUACUAGAUGUCUUGUAUAUGCUUCAAGUUGAUCUUAAGACAGGUUCACAGAAGCCUAUAGCGUGGAUUGAUGAAGCAGGUCAGUGCUUUUUUCCUCAAUCAUACUCUUCUGGCAGUAGGACAUAUGAAUGCAACCAGUCCGAUUUAGAUAAAGAUGGAAAAUUUGUGUAUCCGGAGCCAAAUGGGACCCGUGAAAUCAAGUUGCAUCUUCAUAUUGAAUUAAGUGGAGCCAAUGGCUCUAAUUUGGAGGAAUGUGUGGAAGAGUCAAAUACUCGUGUUAAGCGGGUUAGAAUUAACGAAAAACUUGGUGAAAACCGUGAUGAACUGAAUGUUAAUGAUAAUUGCAAUGGAAAAUCUGAUGCAAAAAUGGAAGAGUCUGUCAAGGAAGUUCAACAGAUUGGUGACCAUUUCUUCCCCAGGUUUGAAGGUGAUUUUGAAGCUGUGAAUUCAGAUAUCGUCAGAAACAUGUUAAUUAAGGGCAUGGACCUGUCCCUACGACCGGAAAUACUUGAAAUUAACCGAUGCAAUAGUAAUAUAUUGCAAACUCGGUGGGAAAUUUUCCUGAAACAGGCUGAAAUUACCUGCAAGUAUCGGGGAGAUCCAAACAUUCAGUAUGCCUGGCUUGCUUCUACUAAAGAUUCAAUUUCUAGCCUCAUGAUGUUUGGGCUUACAGAUUGUGGACCCAAACUGAAGAAGACAUUUGGUGUUGGAGUUCACCUCAAACCAGUGAACCGCGCCCUCCCCAGCGCAAGUUAUUGUGAUGUUGACGAAAAUGGAGUACGACACGUGGUGUUGUGCCGUGUCAUAUUGGGGAAAGUGGAACUUGUUCGUCAUGGAUCUGAACAAUUUCAUCCCAGUAGUGAAAACUUUGAUAGUGGAGUUGAUGAUCUGGAAAAUCCUAAUCAUUAUAUUGUUUGGAACAUGAAUGUGGGUACGCAUAUCUAUCCAGAAUAUGUUGUCAGUUUCAAGAUAUCCCACAGUGCUGAAGGUGCUAUCAUUGGGAAAGAAAGCAGGUUUGAUAUUCCUGGGGUUACUUCUUGUCAGGAACAUCAUCACCUUCAACUCCAGUUAGAUUCAGCUUCAGUUGUUUCAGAGAGCCAUCCAUGUCAAGCUCCAUGUCAAGAUUUUGUGAACAAUUUUGAGGGAAAGGCCCCAAGUGUUGGUUCAACCACCUCCAAAACUCCUAAAUCCCCUUGGAUGCCUUUGGUUAUGUUGUUUGGUGCCAUCUCAAGUAAAAUAGAUCCUAAAGAUAUGAAAAUGGUGUAUGAUCAUUAUGACUCAUUCAGGAGCAAGAAAAUUAGCCGCGAUGAAUUUAUUAAAAAGUUGAGAUUGAUUGUUGGGGAUCAGUUGUUGAGGUCUACGUUAACCAGUCUCCAGUGUAAGCUACCUUCCAAUUUGGUCAGCCAACCGAAAGUACCCAAGGAGGAGCAAGAAGGUUGAGGCGGACCAAGUUCUCAUCCAGUGUAUAAUCCUCCAGUUUUGGACUGUUGUAGGCUCAUCUUGAGUCCAAAACAAUGAUUAAUCCUCCAGUGUGUCCAGUUUUGGACUGUUGUAGGCUCAUCUUGAGUCCAAAACGAUGUUCAGAACCGUUCCUAUUUUACGUAUUGCGAAGAAGCAUGUCCGUGUGAACAAUUAGCUUGAUUAGACACCGAUAGCUGUGUUAACUUUUACGUUUGUUGGAGACAAAAUGAACCCUCCAAACUUUUACUUUUACGGUUCAUUCUGGCUCCCAUAAAUGACUUGUUAACACAGCUAUCAGUAUCCGAUCAAGCUAAUUUUUUUGCACGGACGUAUUUCUUUGCGAUAUCUAAAAUCUGAACGGUCCGAUCAUUUAUUAUAACUCGGGAUGGGCCCAAAAUUGGUCCGAAACUGGACCACUCUGGAGUAUUAUACACCGGAUGAGAACUUGGUCCGAGGCGGACGCUGGUACUGGUUUACUUCCGUCUUCUCAUGGUCCGAUGUAUCCAGAAGGAAUUUGUUACUGCUUUGCGUGAGAUUGUAUUGACAUGAAGUUGUGUACAAAAGAGAGAGAGAGAGAGAGGGGCUGGGGUUGUCAGUGUGAUCAACUUUGUGUUAAAGAAUUAUUUGAAAAGUCGAUUUUUCAAGGAAAUAUCAAACUAAACACAGAUUGCAGUUGGUAUGAAGCAGACAGAAAGGCAGGUUUUGGUGGCAUAUUCUGAAAUGGAGUAACAAGGGAGAAUGGCUUCUGGCUCAUGGGAAGAUGGAGGCAGAUUCAAGCUUGGCAACAGAGACAUGGGCUAUCUACAGGGGAUUGACCAUCAUACUAUUGAAGAAAGGCAUGACUAAUGUGAAAUUGGAGACGGAUGCUCUAGCGGUUGUCCUGUCAAGAUGAUAUCAGAGGAUAACAACGAGAAUCACCCCCAAAUUAAGCAACAUCAUCAACGAUGCAAGAAUUCUCAUUAACCGCACGGGCACAAAUCUAACCCACAUAUUCCGGGAAGCCAGCAUCAUCUACUCUAACCGGCCCACAUAUUACAAAAUAACAAUCUCGUUGUCUCUAUUGACCCUUCCCAAUUUCCAUUAGGGAAUUCAUGAUACGGGACAGUCUUAAUGUUAGGCAAAUUCUUGACUGAGGGUUAUGCUCCCUAGUCUGGUUAUGUAUUUGAACUAUUUGCACUUCUGGACCCUCGUUUGGUUCUAGAUUUAUGAAAUUCCGACGUACCAAAAGAAAAAAAAACUUGAGCUUGA